UCUGUAGGUGGCACUUCAAGUCUGCUGUCAAAGACCGAAGCUUAACUUCGGGCAGGCGGUGGAAACUGAAGAGCUAGAGUAAAGCAGGGGUAGAGGGAAUUCCCAGUGUAGCGGUGAAAUGCGUAGAGAUUGGGAAGAACACCAGUGGCGAAGGCGCUCUACUGGGCUAAAACUGACACUGAGAGACGAAAGCUAGGGUAGCGAAAG
Molecule: ribosomal RNA, 207 nt
Filed under: uncultured bacterium
Lineage: Bacteria
Description: partial 16S ribosomal RNA
Rfam family: Bacterial small subunit ribosomal RNA
Source: RNAcentral